AUUGAACGCUGGCGGCAGGCCUAACACAUGCAAGUCGAACGGUAACAGGAGGCAGCUUGCUGCUUCGCUGACGAGUGGCGGACGGGUGAGUAAUGUCUGGGAAACUGCCUGAUGGAGGGGGAUAACUACUGGAAACGGUAGCUAAUACCGCAUAACGUCGCAAGACCAAAGAGGGGGACCUUCGGGCCUCUUGCCAUCGGAUGUGCCCAGAUGGGAUUAGCUAGUAGGUGGGGUAACGGCUCACCUAGGCGACGAUCCCUAGCUGGUCUGAGAGGAUGACCAGCCACACUGGAACUGAGACACGGUCCAGACUCCUACGGGAGGCAGCAGUGGGGAAUAUUGCACAAUGGGCGCAAGCCUGAUGCAGCCAUGCCGCGUGUAUGAAGAAGGCCUUCGGGUUGUACAGUACUUUCAGCGGGGAGGAAGGGAGUAAAGUUAAUACCUUUGCUCAUUGACGUUCCUCGCAGAAGAAGCAGCGGCUAACUCCGUGCCAUCUCCCGCGGUACUACGGAGGGGUGCAUGCGUUAAUCGGACCUACUGGGUUGUAUAGUCUUAUGCAGUGCGGAUUGUUAAAGUCAGAUGAGAAAUCCCCCGGUUUUAUCCUGUGAACUGCUUCUUGAUAUUGCACUCUCUGACUUCGCGUAUGAGGGGGGUAAUACUAUCUAUCGCACGGUCACACUGACACACUUCUGGCAGUCCACCGGCUGCCCAUGUGUCCCCCCUGGAUAAAUCUCGCCCCCCAGUUCCUAUUGCUUGGU
This 758-nucleotide ribosomal RNA is filed under the name Peptostreptococcus anaerobius. Its description in RNAcentral is "bacterial SSU rRNA". The stretch from base 1 to 529 matches the Rfam family "Bacterial small subunit ribosomal RNA", at positions 28 to 545 of the family's 1533-position model. The record is from RNAcentral. Lineage: Bacteria; Bacillati; Bacillota; Clostridia; Peptostreptococcales; Peptostreptococcaceae.